AUUGAACGCUGGCGGCAGGCCUAACACAUGCAAGUCGAGCGGAUGAAGGGAGCUUGCUCCUGGAUUCAGCGGCGGACGGGUGAGUAAUGCCUAGGAAUCUGCCUGGUAGUGGGGGAUAACGUCCGGAAACGGGCGCUAAUACCGCAUACGUCCUGAGGGAGAAAGUGGGGGAUCUUCGGACCUCACGCUAUCAGAUGAGCCUAGGUCGGAUUAGCUAGUUGGUGGGGUAAAGGCCUACCAAGGCGACGAUCCGUAACUGGUCUGAGAGGAUGAUCAGUCACACUGGAACUGAGACACGGUCCAGACUCCUACGGGAGGCAGCAGUGGGGAAUAUUGGACAGAGGGCAAAAGCCUGAUCCAGCCAUGCCGCGUGUGUGAAGAAGGUCUUCGGAUUGUAAAGCACUUUAAGUUGGGAGGAAGGGCAGUAAGUUAAUACCUUGCUGUUUUGACGUUACCAACAGAAGAAGCACCGGCUAACUUCGUG
Molecule: ribosomal RNA, 484 nt
Filed under: uncultured bacterium
Lineage: Bacteria
Description: partial 16S ribosomal RNA
Rfam family: Bacterial small subunit ribosomal RNA
Source: RNAcentral